Molecule: ribosomal RNA, 484 nt
Filed under: uncultured bacterium
Lineage: Bacteria
Description: partial 16S ribosomal RNA
Rfam family: Bacterial small subunit ribosomal RNA
Source: RNAcentral
AUUGAACGCUGGCGGCAGGCCUAACACAUGCAAGUCGAGCGGAUGAAGGGAGCUUGCUCCUGGAUUCAGCGGCGGACGGGAGAGUAAUGCCUAGGAAUCGGCCUGGUAGUGGGGGAUAACGUCCGGAAACGGGCGCUAAUACCGCAUACGGCCUGAGGGAGAAAGUGGGGGAUAUUCGGACCUCACGCUAUCAGAUGAGCCUAGGUCGGAUUAGCUAGUUGGUGGGGUAAACGCCUACCAAGGCGACGAUAAGUAACUGCUCUGAAAGGAUGAUCAGGCACACGGGAACUGAGACACAGUCGAGACACCGGAGGGAGGACGCAGUGCAGAAUAUUACACGAUGGAGGAGAGCCGGAUCUAGCCAAGUCGAGUGUGUGCAGAUGGUGCUCGGAUGGUAGAGCACUGUAAGUUGGGAGAUAGGAAAGCAAGUUAAUACCUGGAUAUAUUGACGUUACCAACAGAAUAAGCCCCGGCUAACUACGUG